UCUCUCAAAUCUUUACUCAUAAUAAACCAACAUCAAAAUCUUAAGAAAAAAAAUAAAACGAGCAGAAAGGUAAAGGAAACGGGAUUACCAACUGGUUUAAAAAAGGGCGGUGGAGACGGAAAACGGCAGUGACGGUGGCGGUUACAUGUUGGCAUCGGAAGAGGCAAAGAGUUUGUUUGUGUCGUAAGGUUUCCUUGAGGUUUUGGUGAGUGAAGGUGGAAAAAGAUCUAGGCGGAGGGUGAUCGAUGUAGAGUGGUGCAAUGAGUGCACGACAAAUGUUAGUUUUUCGUUGGAGUUUUUUUUAUCGUGAGGUUGAGUGUUGUAAGUUGUUGCUGUUGAACUUGAGUGGUGUUUCGUAUGUUGUUACGUUCUAAUUGUUGUUCGUGCUUGUGGUUGAGGCGGUGGAACAGUGAGCUUGUUGAGUGGUUUGGUGUUGUACACAGAUUUUUUGGUGGUGGUGGAGCAAUUUGCGUUUUGACUGAGGGAUUUUGUCGGCUGAGUUAUGAUUUUCGGUCGAUGUGAAAGAUGGUGAUGGUGUUGAAGUGGUAAUGGUUUUGUUGGUGUUACUGUUAUAUUAAAUGUCGCGGUUUGUGCGAGUAUAGUGGUCAACGACUCAGUUUCUGGUUAUUGCAGCGGUUAGAUGUGGUGGUUAUGGGACAUGGUUUGUGUGUAGUAAUGAAGAUGAUGAACAGUGGAGGGAUGAAUGGAAAAGGGAAAAUGAAAGGUUAUGUUGAGGUUGCUUUUGAGUGUGUUGUUUUGUUCAUGAAAAAUGAGAUGGUUUGUUGGAAGGUUGAUAGUAGCAUGAAGAGAAGGUGUUUGAUGCUACUGUGUUGUGUUUGCUGCAGUUUAUUUGUGGCUUGUAGUAAAAGAGUGGAGUUUUGAAGUUGUAGAAGAAAAAUGGAGAUGAGUUUUUUGGUGUUUGCAAGGGUGUGGUUCGAUACUUG
This 944-nucleotide long non-coding RNA is filed under the name Lathyrus oleraceus (garden pea). Its description in RNAcentral is "Pisum sativum (pea) long non-coding RNA (PSAT_LNC037699)". Lineage: Eukaryota; Viridiplantae; Streptophyta; Magnoliopsida; Fabales; Fabaceae. The record is from RNAcentral.